RNAcentral lists this ribosomal RNA (256 nucleotides) under uncultured bacterium. RNAcentral describes it as "partial 16S ribosomal RNA". It matches the Rfam family "Bacterial small subunit ribosomal RNA", at positions 524 to 776 of the family's 1533-position model. The record is from RNAcentral.
UACGGAGGGUGCGAGCGUUGUCCGGAAUCAUUGGGCGUAAAGGGCGCGUAGGUGGCCCGGUCAGUUCGUGGUGAAAGCGCGGGGCUCAACCCUGCGUCGGCCAUGAAUACUGCCGCGGCUGGAGCACUGUAGAGGCAGGCGGAAUUCCGGGUGUAGCGGUGGAAUGCGUAGAGAUCCGGGAAGAACACCGGUGGCGAAGGCGGCCUGCUGGGCAGUUGCUGGACACUGAGGCGCGACAGCGUGGGGAGCAAACAGG